CCCAGGUGUGUUCGAUUCCAAAGCAUGUGAUCAUUCCACUUUGCAGUCAUUAAAUGAAGAACUAUGCAAAUCAUCUGUUUCACAAUUUACUGAAGAGUACCAAGUGAGACUUAAUGGCAAACUUGUUGGACUAACUCAUCUCCUCGGCAUUGGAGUGGGAUGGGGAGCAGAAAGUGCGAUAGAGAACUCCUGCAUUGAGUGUGACUGUGCUGGCCUUGGAUGUCAGGUAGCAGGUGGCAUUGGGAAGGG
This 249-nucleotide long non-coding RNA is filed under the name Homo sapiens (human). Its description in RNAcentral is "LHRI_LNC1747.1". The record is from RNAcentral. Lineage: Eukaryota; Metazoa; Chordata; Mammalia; Primates; Hominidae.